GUCUGAGUGCAGUGAUGUUUACAUCUCACAACCAGUUACAGAUUUCUUUGUUCCUUCUGCACUCCCACUGCUUCACUUAUCUAGACUUAA
This 90-nucleotide small RNA is filed under the name Pongo abelii (Sumatran orangutan). The record is from RNAcentral. Lineage: Eukaryota; Metazoa; Chordata; Mammalia; Primates; Hominidae.